RNAcentral lists this ribosomal RNA (497 nucleotides) under uncultured bacterium. RNAcentral describes it as "partial 16S ribosomal RNA". It matches the Rfam family "Bacterial small subunit ribosomal RNA", at positions 28 to 507 of the family's 1533-position model. The record is from RNAcentral.
GAUGAACGCUGGCGGCGUGCCUAAUACAUGCAAGUCGAGCGAACAGAUGAGGAGCUUGCUCCUCUGACGUUAGCGGCGGACGGGUGAGUAACACGUGGAUAACCUACCUAUAAGACUGGGAUAACUUCGGGAAACCGGAGCUAAUACCGGAUAAUAUAUUGAACCGCAUGGUUCAAUAGUGAAAGACGGUUUUGCUGUCACUUAUAGAUGGAUCCGCGCCGCAUUAGCUAGUUGGUAAGGUAACGGCUUACCAAGGCAACGAUGCGUAGCCGACCUGAGAGGGUGAUCGGCCACAAUGGAACUGAGACACGGUCCAGACUCCUACGGGAGGCAGCAGUAGGGAAUCUUCCGCAAUGGGCGAAAGCAUAACGGAGCAACGCCGCGUGAGUGAUGACGGUCUUCGGAUCGUAAAACUCUGUUAUUAGGGAAGAACAAAUGUGUAAGUAACUAUGCACGUCUUGACGGUACCUAAUCAGAAAGCCACGGCUAACUACGUG